UACAGAGGCCUCGAGCGUUAGGCGGAAUCACUGGGCUUAAAGCGUGUGUAGGCGGAUCGUUAAGUACCUUGUGAAAUCCCCCGGCUUAACCUGGGAACUGCGUCUGAUACUGGAAGGCUUGAAUCCGGGAGAGGGAUGUGGAAUUCCAGGUGUAGCGGUGAAAUGCGUAGAUAUCUGGAGGAACACCGGUGGCGAAGGCGGCAUCCUGGACCGGUAUUGACGCUGAGGCGCGAAAGCCAGGGGAGCAAACGGG
RNAcentral lists this ribosomal RNA (253 nucleotides) under uncultured bacterium. RNAcentral's name for it is "partial 16S ribosomal RNA". It matches the Rfam family "Bacterial small subunit ribosomal RNA", at positions 524 to 776 of the family's 1533-position model. The record is from RNAcentral.